This is a long non-coding RNA of Pomacea canaliculata, 299 nucleotides long. RefSeq lists it as uncharacterized. Lineage: Eukaryota; Metazoa; Mollusca; Gastropoda; Architaenioglossa; Ampullariidae. The transcript has 3 exons. The record is from RefSeq and is a predicted model, not a curated record.
CGGUUUGCAGCGCUCGCCCAUCACGUGCAGUAAAUGACUCAUUGGCUGAAGGCUCGGUACAAAUGGUAUUUAAGAAAGUGAGUCCCGACGAUCACCUGUGUGAGACUGUGGCGCCUCCUACGAGAUAUGGUGGUUAACAUGUUGACAACAAUGAUUUUACUCUUCAUACUUCUUUCUAUGGCCUCUUGUCUUGAAGCCGUGAACAAAGGAAGUGUCCCCAAAGCACAAGUCAUGCUACAGUUACAAGGCAUGGACUACUCGCUGUUCGGCUACAACAGUCUCAAGGGAUGCCCUCUGAC